ACAUUAUUUCGUAAUAUAUGAAGUCACACAGGAAAGGAAAUGAAACACGAUUUCCCUAAUUUUGGUCUUUCGAAUCCAAAAUUGCAAAAGACACCAAAAAAAUAAACAUUAAAUGGUCGCUUCUGACCGAUUCAAGAA
This is a non-coding RNA of Drosophila bipectinata, 138 nucleotides long. NCBI's taxonomy places the organism in Eukaryota, Metazoa, Arthropoda, Insecta, Diptera, Drosophilidae. The record is from RefSeq and is a predicted model, not a curated record.